GGGUUAGUAGGUUGGUCAUGCCUCUGGUAUGUACUGGUCUCACUGAUUCCUCCUUCCUGAUGAGCCGUAAUGCCAUUAAUUUGGUGUUGCGGGGAAUUUGGACUGUUACUUUGAAAAAAUUAGAGUGUUUAAAGCAAGCUAACGCUUGAAUACAUUAGCAUGGAAUAAUGAAAUAGGACGUUCGAUCCUAUUUUGUUGGUUUCGCUUGGCUGAAGUA
RNAcentral lists this ribosomal RNA (217 nucleotides) under Campeiostachys nutans. RNAcentral's name for it is "Elymus nutans partial small subunit ribosomal RNA". The stretch from base 40 to 217 matches the Rfam family "Eukaryotic small subunit ribosomal RNA", at positions 686 to 864 of the family's 1831-position model. The record is from RNAcentral. Lineage: Eukaryota; Viridiplantae; Streptophyta; Magnoliopsida; Poales; Poaceae.